RNAcentral lists this long non-coding RNA (1013 nucleotides) under Heterocephalus glaber (naked mole-rat). RNAcentral's name for it is "lncRNA (ENSHGLG00000045743.1)". The record is from RNAcentral. Lineage: Eukaryota; Metazoa; Chordata; Mammalia; Rodentia; Bathyergidae.
CCCCAAGUGAUGAGGCCCGCUCCCCAUCUGCAGACCCUCAGUCACACCUGCGCACCCGUUCGGUUCAUGCAUUAGCAUGGGGAUGCCUUUAGGGGAGGGCACUGCUCUGUCACCAUGUCCCCCUUUCCUCCCCAAGAGACACCAGGACCACAUCCCCUCUGCCCUCCACGAGAGGGAAACUAGGGCUUCAGCUGCCAUGACUCUGCUUCUGGUCUUCGGUGGAUCAUCAAGCACAAGGGGACAAAUGCUACACAAUGUGCCCAGGCAUGAAGACAUCCCCCAACACUGAGAUCACGUAAAAUUCUAGAGUCGACCAUGACACAACACCAAGGAAGUGGGGAAGCUUCUAGCAUGACCACCUAUGAAUUCCCACCACUCGGUAGGAGGAGGAUGGGGUGUAGACAAAAAGCAGCUUCUUCCUCAUGACUGGGGAUGCAUUUCAUGGGCACGGCCAGGGCCUCUGUGCCAGGACUGCAGCCCCUGGCCUGUGCUGCCCUCACAGAGGGUCAGCUGCAGCCUCAGCCUGGAGCCGCCCCUCUCCCCAGCUCCUGGAACAACGGUCCAGUGCCACAUCAGGAGGCCCAGGGAGCGCCCCGCUCCAGGUGCACAGCCCGGAGUCUGGUGAGGGCCAGGAGCAGGAGCGGGGGCUGAGCCCAGAGCACGCGGAGGCCUACAGGAGGACAUACAGAGGCCGCCACUACAGGCAUAGGUGCUGUUCUCGGAGGAGGCUAUGCCGGAUCCACAGAAGGUGGCACCCAUCCUGCCGAAGGCGCAGGAGAUGCAUCUGUAGGAGGCGACGUCGCCAAGGUUGCAGAAGAAGGAGAAGAUGCAGGAGGUACCACUAAACCUUCCCAGGCCCUGCCGGAAGCUAUGGAAAAGUCACCUGCCCAAGGAACAGGAGGCAAGGCCAUAACACCCCUCCCAUGUUGAUACCUCAACCCUGAGUUGCCAAGGAGCCCACAAGAUCUGAGCGAUGAGCACAGUCACCUGCCAAAUAAAGCUUGACAAAGAAC